GUGGGAAAGAUCUCAAGCGAGAGGAUGGGCAUUUUAAUUGUGAAGGCUCCAAAGCGAAAGUCAAUCAUCCACGGACAAGGAUUCAGCUUGAGAUUGUGAUGGCAUGAUGAAACCAAUGAGAAGCUGCUCAUAGGGAUGCCAAGUCACUGUUGGAAGAACACCUUAAGGUGCGGGAUGACUCACCUAAUGCAUCUAUUUUGCCAGAUCAUCCCGAUGCAUCUGUCUUGCCGGCUGCUCUGAAAGCCGGCCUCGGCACAAAAUACAUGUUUCAAAUAAAGAGUCAAAGAAAAUCUUUUACAAAUAUGAAGUUCCAAAAUUAAAAUCAUACGUCAUACCAAUGGAUUUUUGUAAUUGUCAUCUUCGUAGGUUUUUUUUAAUUGUUUCUCUGCAGGCUCAUCGAACAACACGAAAACAAUAGUAGUAGUCUCAUUGAUCACAUGUUGCUGGACUUUAACUGUCGUUUAUAUUCGGGGGAUGUCAUUAGCCGUUCGGUCAAAAGUUCAGAUAACUACACCUUACCUAAAUGUGUGAAAUAGGGAAUUACCAUAUGACGGAAACAAUGAUGUAUUAUUUGAACAUUCUUGAUUCAUUAAAAAGGAAACUGUU
Molecule: long non-coding RNA, 606 nt
Organism: Erigeron canadensis
Lineage: Eukaryota; Viridiplantae; Streptophyta; Magnoliopsida; Asterales; Asteraceae
Exons: 3
Source: RefSeq, a predicted model, not a curated record